CGUCAAGAGCUGGUACCGUUGUCUGUUGAGAAGCGAGCAGCAGAGACAUUUUCCAAGUGUUUAAAAGUUUUAUCUACGGGUUUUACGCCAUUUGUUUUGGGGUCUUUGGCUGUUCAACCGGGAAAUUGAAAGUUUGCACGAAUCCCUGAGAGUCCUUCUUUUCAUCAGAGCCUUCGAAAGACUGAAGAAAAGCUUCAAAAAGGUUCAGAAUGGUGACAAAAUCCUGGACACGGUGUACUUGCUAAUAGACUUGGAAGAAGCCCAGCAAAGGUUGGCUCUCCAACGCCGCCACAUCCUACAAGGAAAAAGAAUCGUUUAAUACAUCUGGAAAAACUGCACAGUCUAUAGGAAACCACAAGAUGGCUCAGUGUGAGUACCUCGCUGGCAGCGUAGGUGUACAGGACUUUAUUCUUUAUGACAAACCACAGCCUCUUCCACUGCUUCUUGUUGCCUUUUGACCUGUUUAG
Archocentrus centrarchus (flier cichlid) is the source of this 467-nucleotide long non-coding RNA. RefSeq lists it as uncharacterized. The transcript is spliced from 3 exons. Lineage: Eukaryota; Metazoa; Chordata; Actinopteri; Cichliformes; Cichlidae. The record is from RefSeq and is a predicted model, not a curated record.